This 274-nucleotide ribosomal RNA is filed under the name uncultured bacterium. RNAcentral's name for it is "partial 16S ribosomal RNA". It matches the Rfam family "Bacterial small subunit ribosomal RNA", at positions 523 to 796 of the family's 1533-position model. The record is from RNAcentral.
AUACGAAGGGUGCUAGCGUUGUUCGGAAUUACUGGGCGUAAAGAGCAUGUAGGCGGAUAGAUUAGUCAAAGGUGAAAGCCCCGAGCUCAACUCGGGAACUGCCUUUGAUACUGUUUAUCUAGAGACCGAGAGAGGUGAGUGGAAUUCUCAGUGUAGAGGUGAAAUUCGUAGAUAUUGGGAAGAACACCAGUGGCGAAGGCGGCUCACUGGCUCGGAACUGACGCUGAGAUGCGAAAGCGUGGGGAGCGAACAGGAUUAGAAACCCUAGUAGUCC